This 2291-nucleotide ribosomal RNA is filed under the name marine metagenome. RNAcentral's name for it is "bacterial LSU rRNA". It matches the Rfam family "Bacterial large subunit ribosomal RNA", at positions 3 to 2308 of the family's 2925-position model. The record is from RNAcentral.
UCAAAUUAUUAUGGGUUUAUGGGGGAUGCCUUGGCGUCAAAAGCCGAAGAAGGGCGUAGCAAGUCUGCGAUAAGCCUCGGUUUGCUGACUAGCAAGCUUAGCCGGGGAUACCCGAAUGGGAAAACCUGAUCAUAUGAUCAACCUUUUUAAGGUAGGUAAGCAGGAGAACUGAAACAUCUAAGUAUCCUGAGGAAAAUAAAUCAAACGAGAUUCCCUGAGUAGCGGCGAGCGAAAUGGGAUCAGCCUAAACCGUGUGGGAUUUAUCCUGUGCGGGGUUGUAGGGCACUUUAUAUAGAAGUUACAAAAUGACAUUUUAGUAGAAUAGAUUGGAAAGUCUAACCAUAGAGGGUGAAAGUCCCGUAAACGAAAAAAUGUCAUCUUCUAAAGUGUUCCUGAGUACGACGGGACACGUGAAAUCUUGUCGGAAUCUGGGGGGACCACCCUCCAAGGCUAAAUACUUUUGACGACCGAUAGUGAACUAGUACCGUGAGGGAAAGGUGAAAAGAACCCCGAGAGGGGAGUGAAAUAGAACUGAAACCAUAAACCUACAAACCGUGGGAGCUUGUAUUUAUAUGAGUGACCGCGUGCCUAUUGAAGAAUGAGCCAACGAGUUACUUGGUACGGCAAGAUUAAGAAGUUAAGCUUUGAAGUCGAAGCGAAAGCAAGUCUGAAUAGGGCGAAUUAGUCGUGUCAAGUAGACCCGAAACCGUGUGAGCUACCUAUGGCCAGGUUGAAGCGAGAGUAAAAUCUUGUGAAGGACCGAACCCGUGUACGCUGCAAAGUGCUGGGAUGAGCUGUGGGUAGAGGUAAAAUGCCAAACGAACACGGAGAUAGCUGGUUCUCUCCGAAAUGUAUUUAGGUACAGCGUUAUGUAAUACUUCAUGGAGGUAGAGCACUGGAUAGACUAGGGGGCGCAAGCUUACCAAACCUAACCAAACUCCGAAUACCAUGAAGGGUAUCAUAGCAGUGAGACUGUGGGGGAUAAGCUCCAUUGUCGAAAGGGAAACAGCCCAGAUCGCAAGUUAAGGUCCCUAAGUAUAUGCUAAGUGUUAAACGAAGUAGGGUCGCCCAGACAGCCAGGAGGUUGGCUUAGAAGCAGCCAUCCUUUAAAGAGUGCGUAAUAGCCCACUGGUCAAGGGGCCCCGCACGGAAAAUAAACGGGGCUAAGCAUAUCACCGAGACUGCGGGAUCUAUUUAUAGAUCGGUAGGAGAGUGUCGUUAAAGCAUUGAAGCUAAGCUGUAAGGCUUGGUGGAGUUUUAACAAGUAAGAAUGUUGGCAUGAGUAGCAAAAAUGCCGGUGAGAAUCCGGCAGGCCGUAAGUCUAAGGAUUCCUACGCAACGUUGAUCGGCGUAGGGUUAGUCGGUCCUAAGGCGUAUCCGAAAGGAAAAGUCGAUGGACAGCUGGUGAAUAUUCCAGCACCUAUAAUUAAUUGUUUGAGUCAAAGGGGUGACGCAGAAAGAUAAACAGAGCAUACGUAUUGGACAUCGUGUGUUUUUGCCUGUAGAUGAGUAGAGAAGGUUAAAAUAUUUUCUACGUUUGAAUUGAGGGGUGAGAAAACUAUGAGGUUCGCCUCGUAGAAUUCUGUCGACUCUAAACUGCCAAGAAAAGCCUCGUUGAUUAGAUUUUUCAUAGACCGUACCGCAAACCAACACAGGUAGACAGGGAUAAACGUCCCAAGGCCAUCGAGAGAACCAUCGUUAAGGAACUCGGCAAAUUGACCCCGUAACUUAGGGAGAAGGGGGACCUUUUGUGUAUAUGAGUUUACCUCAAAAAGCAUGGAAGGUAGCAUAAAAUAGGCUGAAGCGACUGUUUACCAAAAACACAGGUCCAUGCCAAAGCGAAAGCUGAUGUAUAUGGGCUGACGCCUGCCCAGUGCCGGUAGGUUAAGGAAAGUUGUGCAAGCAACUGACUGAAGCCCCGGUGAACGGCGGCCGUAACUAUAACGGUCCUAAGGUAGCGAAGUCCCUUGUCGGGUAAGUUCCGACCCGCACGAAUGGCGUAAUGACUUCAGCACUGUCUCAACGAUGGACUCGGUGAAAUUGCAGGACCGGUAAAGAUGCCGGUUACGCGCAGCAGGACAAAAAGACCCCGUGGAGCUUUACUGCAACUUGGCAUUGGUUCGAGUUUUAAAAUGUGUAGGAUAGGCGGGAGACUUUGAACUCUAGGCGUUAGCCUAGGGGGAGUCGCCCUUGAAAUACCGCCCUUUUUAUGAUUUGGACCUAACACUUUUGGACAGUGUCUGGUGGGCAGUUUGACUGGGGCGGUCGCCUCCCAAAGAGUAACGGAGGCG